UUAUAUCUUUUGGGGAGAGUUC
RNAcentral lists this ribosomal RNA (22 nucleotides) under Acacia aphanoclada. RNAcentral's name for it is "partial small subunit ribosomal RNA". The record is from RNAcentral. Lineage: Eukaryota; Viridiplantae; Streptophyta; Magnoliopsida; Fabales; Fabaceae.